Molecule: ribosomal RNA, 3084 nt
Filed under: Cucumis melo (muskmelon)
Lineage: Eukaryota; Viridiplantae; Streptophyta; Magnoliopsida; Cucurbitales; Cucurbitaceae
Description: bacterial LSU rRNA
Rfam family: Bacterial large subunit ribosomal RNA (bases 467-3005)
Source: RNAcentral
AUACAAACACCAUCAAGCAUAACGCUAAAAAAUGAGCUUCUGCAUAAUUGACAUAAUAAGUUUAAUAAAUAAUAGAUCUAUAACACAAACUUGUUUAUUUUUUUAAAAACGAUAAAGUACAAUUUAAACCCACUGAUACAUCUGAUACACUAUUGAUAUCCACUUCAAUACACCACUAAUAUCCAUUUUGAUAUACUUGACACUCCUUUAGUAGAUACCUGAUACACGUUUAAUACACGUGAUAUACCAAAUAGUUUAAUUUAUGAUAAUUUUUUUAAUUUUUUUUAUUAAAGGUUUGAGAAAAGAAAAAUGUAUGUUUAUUGUAAAAGUAUAAGCCACAAGCAUGCACUAUUAUAACCAAAACAAAAAUAAUCUAUGGUUUAAACAUAAACUAUUACAACCAAAUUAAAUCAAUUCUACGACUGCAAUGACUUGCUUAUUGCCACCUAAAAAGUGUUACAAUUUUUUUUUUCCAGCCUUAAAGUUGAUAGAGAUCGACUUAUUUACAAAUACGUCGCAUUAGUUGCUUUAUGCACUCCUGAGUGAGUGAUAGUGAAAUAGUAUCGUGAGGGAAGGGUGAAAAGAACCCUCAUCGGGGAGUGAAAUAGAAUAUGAAACUGUAAGCUUCCAAGCAGUGGGAGGAGACCAAGACUUUGACCGCGUGCCUGUUGAAGAACGAGCCGACGACUCAUAGGCGGUGGCUUGGUUAAGGGAACCCACCGGAGCUGUAGCGAAAGCGAGUUUUCAUGGGGCAAUUGUCACUGCUUAUAGACCUGAACUUGGGUGAACUAUCCAUGACUAGGAUGAAGCUUGGGUGAAACUAAGUGGAGGUCCCGUCGCAAUCGACUGAUGUUGAAGAAUCAACGAAUGAGUUGUGGUUAGGGGUGAAAUGCCACUCGAACCUAGAGCUACUUGGUUCUCCCCAAAAUGCGUUGAGGCGCAGCAGUUGACUGGACAUCUAGGGGUAAAACACUGUUUCGAUGCGGGCCGCGAGAGCGGUACCAAAUCGAGUCAAACUCUGAAGAUUAGAUAUGAUCUCAAAAUAAUAGAGGUCAAGGUCGACCAAUGAGACGAUAGGGGAUAAGCUUCAUGUCGAAAGGGAAACAACUCGGAUCACCAGCUAAGACCCCUAAAUGACCGCUCAAUGAUAAAGGAGGUAGGGGUGCAGAGACAGCCAGGAGGUUUGCCUAAAAGCAGCCACCCUUGAAAGAGUGCGUAAUAGCUCACUGAUCGAGCACUCUUGCGCCAAAGAUGAACAGGGCUAAGCGAUCUAUCGAAGCUGUAGGAUGUCAAAAUGCAUCGGUAGGGGAGCGUUCCACUUUAGAGGGAAGCAACUGCGCGAGCAAUUGUGGACGAAGCGAAAGCGAGAAUGUCGGCUUGAGUAACGCAAACAUUGGUGAGAAUCCAAUACCCUAAAAACCUAAGAGUUCCUUUGCAAGGUUCGUCCACGGAGGGUGAGUUAGGGCCUAAGAUCAAGCCGAAAAACGUAGUUGGUAGACAACAUGUAAAUAUUCCUAUACUACCCCUUGUUGGUCCCGAGGGACGAAUGAGGCUAGGUUGGCCGAAAGAUGGUUAUUGGUUCAAGGAUGCAAGGUGCCCUUGUUUUUUUAAGGUAAAAAGGGGUAGAGAAAAUACUUCGAGCCAAUGUUCAAGUACCAGGCACUACAACGCUAAAGUAACCCAUGCCAUACUCUUAGGAAAAGCUCGAACGACCUUCAACAAAGGGUACCUGUACCCAAAACUGACACAUGUGGGUAGGUAGAGAAUACCUAGGGGCGCGAGAUAACUCUCUCUAAGGAACUCGGUAAAAUAGCCCUGUAACUUCGAGAGAAGAGGUGCCUCCUCACAAAGGGGGUCACAGUGACCAGGCCCGAGCAAUUAUUUACCCAAACACAGAUCUCCGCAAAGUCGUAAGACCAUGUAUGGGGGCUGACGCUUACCUAGUGCCGGAAGGUCAAGGAAGUUGGUGACCUGAAGACAUGGGAGCCGGCGACCGAAUCCCUGGUGAACGACGGUCGUAACUAUAACAGUCUUAAGGUAGCGAAAUUCCUUGUCGAGUAAGUUCCAACCCGUACGAAAGGCGUAACGAUCUGGACACUGUCUCGAAGAGAGGCUCGAUGAAAUAGACAUGUCUGUGAAGAUGCGGACUAUCUACACCUAGACAGAAAGACCCUAUGAAGCUUCACUCUUCCCUGGGAUUGGCUUUAGGCCUUUCAUGUGCAGCUUAGGUGGAAGGCGAAGAAGGCCCCCCCUUCGCCGGGGGGGGGGGGGGGGGGUCGUGUCCGUGUGGUGUAGCCAUCAGUGAGAUACCACUCUGGAAGAGCUAGAAUUCUAACCUUGUGCCAUGACCUACGGGCCAAGGGACAGUCUCAGGUAGACAGUUUCUAUGGGGCGUAGGCUUCCCAAAAGGUAACAGAGGCGUGCAAAGGUUUCCUUGGGCCAGACGAAGAUUCACCAUCGAGUGCAAAGGUAUAAGGGAGCUUGACUGCAAGACCCACCCGUUGAGCAGGGACGAAAGUCGGCCUUAGUGAUAUGACAGUGUCGAGUGGAAGGGUCGUCGCUCAAUGAAUAAAAGUUACUCUAGGGAUAACGGGCUAAUCUUCCCCAAGAGCUCACAUCAACGGGAAGGUUUGACACCUUGAUGUCGGCUCUUUGCCACUUGGGGCUGUAGUAUGUUCCAUGGGUUGGGUUGUUCGCCCAUUAAAGCAGUACGUGAGUUGGAUUUAGAACGUCGUGAGACAGUUUGAUUCAUAUCCGGUGUGGGCAUUAGAGCAUUGAAAGGACCUUUCCCUAGUAUGAGAGGAUCGAGAAGGACGUACCUCUGGUGUACCAGUCAUCGUGCCCACGGUAAAUGUUGGGUAGCCACGUGCGGAGCGGAUAACUGCUAAAAGCAUCUAAGUAGUAAGCCCACCACAAGAUGAGUGCUCUCCUAUUCCGACUUUCCAAGAGCCUCCUGUAGCAUAGCCGAGACAACGAUCGAUUCUUUACCCCUACGGGAAUAAAGCGACAAAAGUUUUGAGAAUUAUAUUUAAGAGAAGGUCACGACGAGAUGAGCUGUUUAUUAUCACGAUAGGUGUCAAGUGG